RNAcentral lists this ribosomal RNA (269 nucleotides) under uncultured bacterium. RNAcentral's name for it is "partial 16S ribosomal RNA". It matches the Rfam family "Bacterial small subunit ribosomal RNA", at positions 84 to 354 of the family's 1533-position model. The record is from RNAcentral.
CCCGCCGGCGACCGGCGCACGGGUGAGUAACGCGUAUGCAACCUGCCCUCUUCAGGGGGACAACCUUCCGAAAGGGAGGCUAAUCCCGCGUAUAUCGGUUUCGGGCAUCCGAGAUCGAGGAAAGAUUCAUCGGAAGAGGAUGGGCAUGCGGCGCAUUAGGAAGACGGCGGUGUGACGGACCACCGUUCCGACGAUGCGUAGGGGUUCUGAGAGGAAGGCCCCCCACACUGGUACUGAGACACGGACCAGACUCCUACGGGAGGCAGCAG